RNAcentral lists this ribosomal RNA (424 nucleotides) under uncultured bacterium. RNAcentral describes it as "partial 16S ribosomal RNA". It matches the Rfam family "Bacterial small subunit ribosomal RNA", at positions 360 to 776 of the family's 1533-position model. The record is from RNAcentral.
AAUAUUGGACAAUGGGCGAAAGCGUGUUCCAGCCAUGUCGCGUGUGUGAAGAAGGUCUUCGGAGUGUAAAGCACUUUAAGUUGGGAGGAAGGGGGUGAAGCUAAUACCUUCAAUUUCUGACGUUACCAACAGAAUAAGCACCGGCUAACUCUCUGCCAGCAGCCGCGGUAAUACAGAGGGUGCAAGCGUUAAUCGGAAUGACUGGGCGUAAAGGUCGCGUAGUUUGUUCGUUAAGUUGGAAGUGAAAGCCCCGGGCUUAACCUGGGGAUUGCUUUGAAAACUGACGAGCUAGAGUACGGUAGAGGGUAGUGGAAUUUCCUGUGUAGCGGUGAAAUGCGUAGAUAUAGGAAGGAACAUCAGUGGCGAAGGCGACUACCUGGACUGAUACUGACACUGAGGUACGAAAGCGUGGGGAGCAAACAGG